Drosophila melanogaster (fruit fly) is the source of this 1568-nucleotide non-coding RNA. Lineage: Eukaryota; Metazoa; Arthropoda; Insecta; Diptera; Drosophilidae. The record is from Ensembl.
CUAUUUUUUCCUUUUAACAAAAUUGGAGAGCUAAUAUUAUUUUUCAAAUUUUAAUUUGUUUACCAUAAGUUCUAAAACGAUUUUGCUAAGUGCAGUAAAGGGUUAAGAGGUGGUGGAUGGUGUUGCAUAUGCCAUUGGAUAACCAAGACUGGUGUAAAUGAGUGCAGCACAACAGGGGUAACUCGAGGAAUGCUCGAUUGGAUUUCGAAGGCAGCAUUAGCAAAACUUGCCGAAUUAUUCAAGGAUGUGCGUACUUCCCGAAAACAGAAGCAUUACGACGCUAACAAGUGAGUGCUGCACAUCAGCUGUCAGUGGGUAAAACGGUUAGCCGCAUCGCUACUGCCCCCCACUGCCUCCAUCCGCUGGAGAAGAUGCAACUGUUUGGAUGCCGGACUAUUAGGAAUGCCAACACAACGGACCCGGAUGAGCGGACGUGGACCAGUUGCGUACGUGUUGAACAUCGGUUACCAUACCUGCUGCAGGACACACUAAGCCAAGCAGCAUUACCCAGCUCCGAUCCCAGCCCCAAUGUCCAUAUAACCAUAAAGCCAUCCCAUUCCAAAGCCCAUAUCCGCCACCAACACCACCACCACCCCCCGCGUGUGUGCAUUCAUAAAUAAGGUAUCCAACGAGGCAGACUCAGCAGGGAGCACAACUCCAGGCUGACCUGUCCAUCCAGGUUAACGGGAAGACGCACAUAGCAACACACAGUUACACUAUUUUUCAUUUUGCCUAUUACGAGCGAGGGCAUCAGGACACCAGGGUCAGCUGCUGGAUGGGAAAUAGAAGAGGUGGCUUGGCUUGGGAAUGGCAUGGGAAUGGCAAUGAGGACGACGUGGCCGUCGGCUCUCGCAUGUCCUGACCUCUUUGGCCUGCCCUGUUGGUUUUGUCCUGGCCCCGGGAGCCAUGCUUCAUUUACUUUGUUGUCGGUGGCCAUUAGUUUUGACGCACUUUGGACCAGGUUACCCCCACCUGCGUUACGAUGGCCAUUGGCCAUCCCCACUGGGAUAGUGAUGUGGGAAUGGCAAUCCCUGCCCGCCCAAAGGCACAAUCCCGGUCGGCAUUGUGGGGUUAAGUGGGCUGUGUGUGCGGAAUGAGCAUAAUGGAUUGACAGGCUUCGUUAGCAGGAGCUGCAAUCGAUUCCGGAUGCACAUCGUAAUCGAUAGAAAGUAAACAUAUUGCCUGGAGAAAGUUCGCAUAACUUUUUCAAUGCGGAAAAGGGUCAAAUUGGCAGAUGCUCUAGCUCGCAGUUGGAAUAAUUAUAAUCGCAGUUAGCUUUUCUUGGGCAAACACAGACGACACUUCUUCAGCUUCAGCUGCUUUUUAUCUGCUUUCCGAUUUUCCGAGCGUUUAGGCAACAAUAACAGCAACAGCAGCAAGAGCAAGUUGGGUAAACAAAAAGUCGGACUUGGUGAGUCCAGGACAUCACAGAGAUGACGCAUAAUGAUUACAAAACUAUCUGGAUGUGGAGAUGAAAUAUUUCAAAAUUAUAUUCGAGAAAUGUCUUUAUUUUAUAAAUGUUAAAUGUUAUGUCAGUUAACAAACAAAUAUAGGACAGUUAUCUACUG